CUGCGGGUGUUUGUAAAUGGCCAAAUUAAAUUAAAGAAAGGGAAGAUCAGGAACAUUUGGGGCUCUCUGAGUAACCUGGAGAGAACAGAGAGGGUGGCUAUGACAUCAGUUUAUGGGGGGAGCAUGGCCAUUUGAUGCAAGGAGCUUAGUGAUCGUUCAUUGAGAACCUACUGUGGGCAAGAGACAUACAGAGCUGACCUCAGAGGCAGGAGUUUCAAGUCUGACCUCUGACACAUGCUUGCUGUGUGACCCCUGGAGGAGCAGUCUGCAUUUGCUGCAUUUGGUGUGAAAGGUUUCCCCCUGGGGAAUUCCUUGAGGGUACAGUGGCCAGUUUCUUGGCAUUUAAGUCCCUACAUUUUUCUUCCAAAGGCCCCAGCUUCUUCUCUGCCUGGUGUUCCUGGAGCAAUCAGCAAGUGGAGCUUCCUGUUCUGGCUUCAGAAAAAUGCCAGAGACCAGCAGCUGGUGAUAGACCCUCAAAUCAACCUUUAAAGACAAAUGUAGAAGAGACCAUAAACAGAGGGUCUGGGGAGAGAGACCCCCCACAGCCAAUAUUCUGGAGAGGGGAUGAAGAAGGGGACAAACCUGAAGUGCUGAAGACUCUGGAUUUACCAACAUGGCUCAGCUGCCUUCUUGUCCUAGAGUAUUUCUGUCAUGCUGGUUCCUUUCUCCCACUGGAGACUAAUCUUCCAACAGAGAAGGAGAGAACAAAAUUGGCUAAUGGAAUUAAAAUUAAAGAUAAAUGAAAAAGUAGUAAGAGACCACCUCAGUGCUCUCAAUGAAUUCAAGUCAGUACGUCAAUAUGAACUACAUUCAAUUGUACAAAUAAACAAAACACCCAAACAAACA
This 846-nucleotide long non-coding RNA is filed under the name Monodelphis domestica (gray short-tailed opossum). RNAcentral's name for it is "lncRNA (ENSMODG00000047594.1)". Lineage: Eukaryota; Metazoa; Chordata; Mammalia; Didelphimorphia; Didelphidae. The record is from RNAcentral.